This 425-nucleotide ribosomal RNA is filed under the name uncultured bacterium. RNAcentral describes it as "bacterial SSU rRNA". It matches the Rfam family "Bacterial small subunit ribosomal RNA", at positions 355 to 772 of the family's 1533-position model. The record is from RNAcentral.
UGGGGAAUAUUGGACAAUGGGCGCAAGCCUGAUCCAGCCAUACCGCGUGGGUGAAGAAGGCCCUCGGGUUGUAAAGCCCUUUUGUUGGGAAAGAAAUCCUAUCGGUUAAUAACCGGUAGGGAUGACGGUACCCAAAGAAUAAGCACCGGCUAACUUCGUGCCAGCAGCCGCGGUAAUACGAAGGGUGCAAGCGUUACUCGGAAUUACUGGGCGUAAAGCGUGCGUAGGUGGUUGUUUAAGUCUGCUGUGAAAGCCCUGGGCUCAACCUGGGAAUUGCAGUGGAAACUGGGCGACUAGAGUGUGGUAGAGGGUAGCGGAAUUCCUGGUGUAGCAGUGAAAUGCGUAGAGGACAGGAGGAACAUCCAUGGCGAAGGCAGCUACCUGGACCAACGCUGCCACUGAGGCACGAAAGCGUGGGGAGCAAA